Molecule: small nucleolar RNA, 82 nt
Filed under: Meyerozyma guilliermondii ATCC 6260
Lineage: Eukaryota; Fungi; Ascomycota; Pichiomycetes; Serinales; Debaryomycetaceae
Also listed under: 1 other name
Description: Small nucleolar RNA SNORD24
Rfam family: Small nucleolar RNA SNORD24
About the family: U24 is a member of the C/D class of snoRNA which contain the C (UGAUGA) and D (CUGA) box motifs. C/D box snoRNAs have been shown to act as methylation guides for a number of RNA targets. U24 is encoded within an intron of the gene for ribosomal protein L7a in mammals, chicken and Fugu.
Source: Rfam by way of RNAcentral
UUCACAUGAUGCUAUCAUAUUUGCUACUUCAGACGGCUUCGGCUGAAUGAGACAUAUUUAAUCACCAAGAUCUCUGAUUGAA